This 493-nucleotide ribosomal RNA is filed under the name uncultured bacterium. RNAcentral describes it as "partial 16S ribosomal RNA". It matches the Rfam family "Bacterial small subunit ribosomal RNA", at positions 28 to 507 of the family's 1533-position model. The record is from RNAcentral.
GACGAACGCUGGCGGCGUGCCUAACACAUGCAAGUUAAGCGACGAACCAGGGCUUGCCCUGGGGCAAAGCAGCGAACGGGUGAGUAACACGUGGGUAACCUACCCCGAUAACCGGGACAACCCGAGGAAACUCGGGCUAAUACCGGAUGUGCUCACUGGACUUCGGUUCAGUGCGUAAAGGAAGCUUCGGCCUCCGUAUCGGGAGGGGCCCGCGGCCCAUUAGUUUGUUGGUGAGGUAACGGCUCACCAAGACCGCGAUGGGUAGCUGGUCUGAGAGGACGAUCAGCCACACUGGGACUGAGACACGGCCCAGACUCCUACGGGAGGCAGCAGUGGGGAAUCUUGCGCAAUGCGCGAAAGCGUGACGCAGCAACGCCGCGUGGGGGAAGAAGGCCUUCGGGUUGUAAACCCCUUUCAGGAGGGACGAAGGUUCGGCGGUGAAUAGCCGUCCGGACUGACGGUACCUCCACAAGAAGCCCCGGCUAACUACGUG